RNAcentral lists this ribosomal RNA (292 nucleotides) under uncultured bacterium. Its description in RNAcentral is "partial 16S ribosomal RNA". It matches the Rfam family "Archaeal small subunit ribosomal RNA", at positions 455 to 747 of the family's 1478-position model. The record is from RNAcentral.
GUGCAGCCGCCGCGGUAAUACCGGCAGCCCGGGUGAUGGCCGAUAUUAUUGGGCCUAAAGUGUCCGUAGCUGGCCGAACAAGUCCGUCGGGAAAUCCACGUGCUUAACACGUGGGCGGCCGGCGGAAACUGUUCGGCUUGGGGCCGGAGGACCCGAGGGGUACGUCCGGGGUAGGAGUGAAAUCCUGUAAUCCUGGACGGACCGCCGGUGGCGAAAGCGCCUCGGGAAGACGGACCCGACAGUGAGGGACGAAAGCUGGGAUCUCGAACCGGAUUAGAUACCCUUGUAGUCC